This 365-nucleotide ribosomal RNA is filed under the name uncultured eukaryote. RNAcentral describes it as "partial 18S ribosomal RNA". It matches the Rfam family "Eukaryotic small subunit ribosomal RNA", at positions 592 to 976 of the family's 1831-position model. The record is from RNAcentral.
CAAUAGCGUAUAUUUAAGUUGUUGCAGUUAAAAAGCUCGUAGUCGGAUUUUGGCUGAGAACGAUCGGUCCGCCGUUAGGUGUGCACUGAUUGGUCUCAGCUUCCUGGUGAGGAGGUGUGCUUCACGGCCACUUAGUCACCGUGGUUACUUUGAAAAAAUUAGAGUGUUCAAAGCGGGCUUACGCUUGAAUAUAUUAGCAUGGAAUAACACCAUAGGACUCCUGUCCUAUUUCGUUGGUCUCGGGACGGGAGUAAUGAUCAAGAGGAACAGUUGGGGGCAUUCGUAUUUCAUUGUCAGAGGUGAAAUUCUUGGAUUUAUGAAAGACGAACUUCCGCGAAAGCAUUUGUCAAGGAUGUUUUCAUUGA